GACAGAGGGUGCAACCGUUGCUCGGAAUCACUGGGCGUAAAGGGCGUGUAGGCGGGCAGGUAAGUCGGGCGUGAAAUCCCUGAGCUCAACUCAGGAACUGCACUCGAAACUACUUUUCUUGAGUGCCGGAGAGGAAAGCGGAAUUCCUGGUGUAGAGGUGAAAUUCGUAGAUAUCAGGAGGAACACCAGUGGCGAAGGCGGCUUUCUGGACGGUAACUGACGCUGAGACGCGAAAGCGUGGGGAGCAAACAGG
Molecule: ribosomal RNA, 253 nt
Filed under: uncultured bacterium
Lineage: Bacteria
Description: partial 16S ribosomal RNA
Rfam family: Bacterial small subunit ribosomal RNA
Source: RNAcentral